Molecule: long non-coding RNA, 1144 nt
Filed under: Pavo cristatus (Indian peafowl)
Lineage: Eukaryota; Metazoa; Chordata; Aves; Galliformes; Phasianidae
Description: lncRNA (ENSPSTG00000011411.1)
Source: RNAcentral
CGAAACCUAUAUUCCACCAGGUUCUACCACUUGGCUGUCUGUACCUUUUACCUUGUCUGUCUUUUGCACAAACCCACAGCUUAGCUUAAAUAUCAUGGAUCAUGUUUCCUCUCUCUUAGUAUGGCAAUGAUAUAAGAGUGUAUGGACACUUCUAUGUAUGUGAAAGAUGUUCAACUGAAAAGCUGCAAAGAUCUUCCACUUAAUUUCUAGCACUGCAGCCCACCUUGUUCCUCCCUGUGGACUAACUAGUGGACCAACUUCUCAGCUGGUGCCAUUUGUUCCUAGUGGCCUGGCUAGCAGGAUGCAGCCCAGCUGGGGCUGUAACUGCCUUCUGCUGAAGGAUUCAGCCAAGCUGAGAAAAAAUAGAACUUUCUUCACUGGAAAGUUUGCUGGUCUUCUGAACAAGCUAGUUAACUUGGCAGACUUAACUUCUGUCCUAGUAUGUGACAGAAGAGAAGCUUCUGGUACAACCUUAGGAAUUCCAGUUGAAGAAAAGGCUUUUCCAUCAACCCUGGGCAAAAAGAAUGUGCUUAAUUCUUCUAAGGAGAGCUUUACAGAAGCUGGUGGCUUUCUGUCUUUAUUUAUUUUUUUUUGAAGCAGCUCUGGAACCUGUCUGAAAGCACUCCAUUUCAAACUCUUCAGUGUGAUGAUAAUGGACAGUGUGUGGUGAUUUAUGCAGAACACCUUGAAGAGGAAGUGCAGGAAGGAGAGGGCCUCUGGAAAGUUUUGAAAUUGGAAACAUGAAACAUCUCACUCAUGACUUGCAGCUCUGGGGAUUCAGAAAAUACUUCCAAGCUUUGGCAUGUUCAAAAGCUCUCUAGAUGAAGCAGCAGCUGGGUGGCAUACGUCAGAUCCUCUUCAUUUAUGUUUCUACUGCAGCCCAAACUUAAUAAGGAUUGUCCUUACCUGCUGCCAAAGUACAAGUGAAGCUUUGGUACAAAAAGAGUGUAUUCCCUGCAUCUGCCCUGUGUCCAGAGUAGACCAAACGCCACCCAAGGAGAAGCAUGGGUGUUCUGCUUGCACAGGGUACUGCUCUGUUCUCAGCAGCUCCGAGGCAAGACAUGCAAAUGUUCAAAUAGUCUGUCUUAAUAAAAAGUCUUAUCCAGUUCUCCUAUCCUGUUUUUUCUUUUUUUUUUUUUUUUAA